CAUAUCACGUCAUACCACAUUACCUUUUAAAAGUGCCCACAGUCAAGAUUAAGUCCUCUAUGGGUGCACCACGGAUUCUAAGACAAACUACUCCUGAACUUCUGAAUAUUGCACUAUAUAUACUGGAUACAUAUAACUUGGUGUAGCUCUAGUCAUAUAUGUAUUAAGAAAUUAUAAAAUCAACCAAUAAGACAUUUUAGAAUCAACCGAAUUUCUAUUUCACAAUAAUGGAACAUAAUUUUCAAAGAAUACAUAAGAUGAGUGUAUACCAAGUUACAUCAACAGCGCUCUUUCUAAUGGUAGUGGUCAUUACUAUGAAUCCUACAUCCGCAACCAGUACAACAAUCACUGAUGCAUCGACAAAAACUGAUGAACCCACUACAACCGUAACUGAUGCAUCGACUACAACUGGUGAACCCACUACAACCGUAACUGAUGCAUCGACUACAACUGGUGAACCCACUACAACCGUAACUGAUGCAUCGACUACAACUGGUGAACCUACUACAACCAUCACUGAGUCAUCAACAACAACUGGUGAACCCACUACAACCAUCACUGAGUCAUCAAAAACAACUGGUGAACCAAAUACAACAUUCAUUGACGCAUCGACAACAACUGGUGAACCGCUACAACCGUCACUAAUUCACCACCAACAACUGGUGAACCAACUAAAACCACCACUAAAUCAACAAAAUCAACUGGUGAACCAACUAAAACCACCACUAAAUCAACAAAAACAACUGGUGAACCAACUAAAACCACCACUAAAUCAACAAAAACAACUGCUGAACCAACUAAAACCACCACUAAAUCAACAAAAACAACUGCUGAACCAACUAAAACCACCACUACAUCAACAAAAACAACUGGUGAACCAACUAAAACCACCACUAAAUCAACAAAAACAACUGCUGAACCAACUAAAACCACCACUACAUCAACAAAAACAACUGGAGAACCAUCUAAAACCUCCACUGAGUCAACGACAACAAUUGGUGAACCCAUUAAAAUCGUUUUUGGGUCAUCAACAACAACUGAUGAACCCACUACCACCAUCACUGGUUCAUCCAGAACAACUGAUGAAAACACUGCAACCGACAAUGAUGCAUCGACAGAAACUGGUGAACCCAAUACAACCAUCAAUGAUUCAACAAAAACAACUAGUGAACCCACUACAACCAUUACUGAUUCAUCAACAACUGGUGAACCCAAUACAACAACUACCAGUGAAACUGCUACAACCAUCACUGGUGUUGUCGAUAACAACGGAUGCAGCUGCAACAGUCAUUGAUUCAUCAACAAUAACAGGUGAACUCACUCCAACCAUCGUUGAUGCAUCGAUAGUAACUAGUGAACCCACUGCAACCAUCACUGAUUCAUCAACAACAACUGGGGAACCAAAUACAUCCAUCACUGAGUCAUCAAAAGAAACUAGGCAACGCACUAUAACAUUAAGUGGAUCAUCGACAACAACUGGUGAACACACUACAAGAGUCCCUGCUGCGUCGACCACAACUGGGGAACCCACUACAAUCGACAUUGAUGCAUCAACAACUACUAGUGAAAACACAACAAUGGUCAGUGCUGAAUCGAAAACAACUGGUGAACCCACUACAACCAUGACUGGUGUGUCAACAAUAACGGUUACAGUUUCACCCACUACAAACAUCACUGGUAGAUUGACAUCAACAGUUACAGCUGCACCCACUACAACUGUCAUUGGAGCAUCAAUAACAACUGGUGAACUUACUUCAACUGUUAUUGGUGUGUUGACAACAACUGGUGAACCCACUACAACAGUCACUCGUGGGUCGACAACAACUAGUGGACCCACUACAACCAUAACUGAUUCAUCAACUACAGCUGGUGAACUCACUACAUCCAUCACUGAGUCAACAAAAACAACUGGUGAACCCACUAUGACCGUCACUGGUGUGUUGACAACAACUGGUGAACGCACUACAAUAUUCACUGGUGUGUCGUCAACGAGUGGUGCAUCAACAACUACUGGUACAGCUGCACCCACUACAACCGUCACUAGUGCAUCAAAUGCCACCACAACUACAAUAGCUACUCCUGUCAUCACUACUGCCAUCAUCACAGCCACAACAACUGCAACUACCGCUGUUGCAAUCAUUAGGUUGCCUGUGGUGUUCCGGUCCAGAGGAGAGACAUUUACCUCUGAUCUAUCAAACCCAUCAUCUCAGGCCUUUCAAACCCGAGCAUUACUGAUUAAAACUCAGGUUGAACCUUUCUAUCAAUCAGCUUUCACGUCUUUCAACAGUUUGACUGUGACAGAAUUCAGCUCUGGAUCCAUCAUCAAUACUGUAAAUGUAGCAUUCAGCUCCCCCUCUGUCCCUAAUAUCACGGAGAUUGGCACUGUUUUGAUAAAUGCUGCCCAAAACAUCACAGCUUUCAACAUUGACCCCUCCUCAGUGACAGUCAACAGCACAGCUGCAGCCACAAAAAUACUUACCAGUGCAAUAACAACGAGUGGCUUAUCGACAAGAACUGGUGAACCCACUACAACCGUCACCAGUGUGUCGACAAUGAGUGGUGCAUCAACAACUGCUGUUACAGCUGAACCCACUACAACUGUCAAUGAUGCACCGACAACAACUGGUGAACCCAAUACAACCAUAACUGAUACAUCAACAACAACAACUGGUGAACCCACUGAAACCGUCACUGGUUCAUUGAAACUAACUGGUGAAUUCACUACAACCGUCACUGGUGUGUCGACAACAACUGACAAACCAACUACAACCAUCACUGGUGUGUCGAUAAAGUUUACAGCUGCACCCACUACAAACGUCACUGGAGCAUCAACAACAACUGGUGAACUUACUUCAGCCGUUGUUGGUGUGUCGACAACAAGUUACGAAUCAACAACUACUGUUACUGCAGCACCCACUAUAACCGUCACGGGUGUGUUGACAACAACAGGUGAACCCAAUAUAAACGCUACUGGUGCACCAAAAACUACUGAUGAACCCACUACGACCAUCACUCGUGUGUCGACAACAAGUGGUGAACCCCCUACAUCCAUCACUGGUGUGUCGACAACAACGUUUACAACUGUACCCAUUACAAACGUAACUGGUGCAUUGACAACAACUGGUGAACUUACUUCAACUGUCAUUGGUGUGUCGUCAACAAGUUAUGCAUCAACAAUUACUGUUACUGCAGCACCCACAACAACCGUGUCGACAACAACUGGUGAACCCACUACAACCGUGUCGACAACAACUGUUGAACCCACUGCAACCGUUACUGGUGCAUUGACAACAACUGGUGAACCCAGAACAACCAUUACUGGUGUGUCGGCAACAACUGGUGAACCCACUGCAACCAUCACCGGUGUGUUGACAACAACGGUUACAGCUGUACCCAUUACAAACAUAACAGGUGCAUUGACAACAACUGGAGAACUCACUUCAACCGUCACUGGGGUAUUGACAAGAACUGGUGAACCCAGAACAACCGUCACUGUGGUGUCGACAACAAGUGAUGCAUCAACAACUACAUUUACUGCAGCACCCACUACAACCGUCAUGGGUGUGUUGACGACAACUGGUGAACCCACUACAACCGUCGAUGGUGUGUCGACAACAACUGAUGAACCAAUUACAACUAUCAGUGGUGUGUUGAUAACAAAGUUUACAGCUGCACCCAUUACAAACGUCACUGGAGCAUCAACAACUGGUGAACUUACUUCAACUGUCAUUGGUGUGUCAACAACAAGUGAAGCAUCAACAACCACUGUUACUGCAGCACUAACUACAACUGUCACUGGUGUGUCAACAACAACUGGUGAACCCACUGCAAACAUCACCGGUGUGUUGACAACAACGGUUACAGCAGUACCCAUUACAACUGUCACGGGUUUGUCGACAACAACUGGUGAACCCACUACAACCAUCACUGGUGUGUCGACAACAACUGGUGAACCCACUGCAACCCUCACCGGUGCAUCAACAACUAAUACUACAGCUGCACCCAUUACAACUCUCACUGAUGCAUCAACAACAAUGGUUACAGCUGUAUCCAUUUUAACCGUAACUGGUGCUUUGACAACAACGGUUAGAGCCGCAGCCACUACAGCCGUCACUGGUGUGUCGACACCAAGUGAUGCACCAACAGCUACUGUUACUGCAGCACCCACUACAACCGUCAUGGGUGUGUUGACGACAACUGGUGAACCCACUACAACAUUAACUGGUUCAUCGACAACUACUAGUGAACCCACGACAGCCGUUACUGGUCCAUUGACAACAUCUGGUGAACCCACUACCACAAUCACUGGUGUGUCGACAACAAUGGUUACAGCUGUACCCAUUACAACCGUAACUGGUGCAUUGACAAGAGCGAUUACAGUGGCUCCAAAUACAACCAUCACUGUUGUGCCGUCAACUACUGAUGAACCCAAUUCAACUGUCACUGGUGGGUUGACAACAACUGGUGAACCCACUACAACCGUCACUGGUGCAUCGACAACAACGGUUACAGCUGUACCCAUCACAUCAAUAGGUGGUGCAUUGACAACUGGAGAACUCCCUUCAACCGUCACUGCUGCUCUUGCAACAAGUACUGUUCCUCCUACAACUUCUGUUACAACCCCUGUGGCUGGUACUACCACCACAACAACUGGAGAACCUGUUACUGUUCCGGCUACCGUUCCUACAACUAGGCCCACAACUACAACCACUACAUACGUGGCCCCCACAACUACAGUGUCAAGGACAACAUCACCACUGUCAACAACUACCAGCACAGCUCCAACUACCACAACAACCAACGCACCAACCACUACUACAACACCUACUACUACUACUAGUACAACCACUACUACAACACCUACUACUACUAGUACAACAACAACUACAACUAAAACAACAACUGCACAUCUCCAACCUGCUCCACUGGUGGUUUUCGUCAUACAACAAGUGUUUGUAGAAGCUUUAAAUGACCCUCAAAGUCCACAAUUCCAAGAACUUGCAGUAACUAUUACUGCAGUGUUUGAUGUGAUCUACAAAGCAAAAUAUGGGAUCCUUUUCAUCCGGACAAUUGUUAUUGGAUUCACACCUAUUUUCCGUUCUCGUAUGGAUGCAGAAACACAGGCGGAGGUCCAGCUAGUGUUCAGUGAGACCUCCACUCAAUCUGUCCCUGAGGUUACUGACAUUAGCAAUACACUGAAAGAGGCUGUGACCAAUCCAAACAUUACCUUUGGCAACCUCUCUGUGGAUGUUACCACCAUCAUUGUUAAAGUGCCCACCACAAAUGCCAACUCAACUGCAACGGUAACUCCUGUCAUCACUACUUCCAUCAUCACAACUACAACCACUGAAACUACCGCUGUGGCACUCACUAAGGUGACUGUGGUGUUCAGGUCCAGAGGAGAGACAUUUACCUCUGAUCUAUCAAACCCAUCAUCUCAGGCCUUUCAAAGCCGAGCAUUACUGAUUAAAACUCAGGUUGAACCUUUCUAUCGAUCGGCUUUCACCUCUUUCAACAGUUUGACUGUGACAGAAUUCAGCUCUGGAUCCAUCAUUGAUACUAUGAAUUUAGCAUUCAGCUCCUCCUCCGUCCCAAAUUCCAAGGAGAUUGGCACUGUUUUGAUAAAUGCUGCGCAAAACAUCACAGCUUUCAACAUUGACCCCUCCUCAGUGACAGUCAACGGCACAGCUGUGACCUCAAGUGGAGUAAGCAGCAAGACCAGUCUCUUCACAGCAUUCUUUCUGGUGGUUCUGUCUCUGCUACUGUCAAGCCAGCAUUAGUCUCAGUGGUAACGCCCACUUGGUAGUCAUAUUUUCACUUUGAGAACUUCCCACACAUUCCAACCCCUACAUAAAUUCCACCCAUGAUUUGACUAGUCUCCAAAAUGAAAUGAAGUCUUGUAAGCUGACAUAAGAUACAGUCUAUGUGGCAGUUGAACACAAUGAUGUGAUAUAAUUACUGCCUAUUCAAUCAAAAUGUGUAAGUGCAUGGGUUUCCAUCAUAAGUCAAUGUUAUUUCCAUGCAAUGACAAAGCAUGUUUGAUUUAAUAUGCACUUAUUUUUGAUUCACUCUGUUGCUGAUAUGAACUAAAACAUUGAUUCACUCUUGCUGAUAUGAACUAAAACGUUGAUUUACUCUCUUGCUGAUAUGAACUAAAACGUUGAUUCACUCUUUUGCUGAUAUGAACUAAAACAUUUAAUCACUCUGUUGCUGAUAUGAACUAAAACAUUUAAUCACUCUGUUGCUGAUAUGAACUAAAACAUUGAUUUACUCUCUUGCUGAUAUGAACUAAAACAUUGAUUCACUCUUGCUGAUAUGAACUAAAACGUUGAUUUACUCUCUUGCUGAUAUGAACUAAAACGUUGAUUCACUCUUUUGCUGAUAUGAACUAAAACAUUUAAUCACUCUUUUGCUGAUAUGAACUAAAACAUUGAUUCACUCUUGCUGAUAUGAACUAAAACGUUGAUUUACUCUCUUGCUGAUAUGAACAAAAACAUUUAGUCACUCUGUUGCUGAUAUAAACUAAUGAGAGCAAUAUUAUAUUUCAUAUUUUGACUUAACCAGUGAAACCUGGAUAACUGAUUUAAAUAAGGCCCUUUGGAGCAAAAUGUUCAAAGAUUUAAACAAUUAUGAAUGUAGUCUUCAUCAUGUAUCUGUUAUACCAUAUAAUGCAAUUCUGUUAUCAAUUGUCCUGAUAUUGUGCCAGUGUAAGGUUGUCUGCUUUUUCUGGAGGUACACAAUCUUUAAUACAUGUCUUUCUCUCGUGAAGAUUCAGGCCAUUGUAUUGUUUACUAUUUGUUGACUAAAUGAGUGGAUUGGAUGACAAGGUAAAGUAUGGCUCCAAUUGUGAUGUUUAUCUGACUAUCUGGCUAUACAAUACUGGAACAACAAGACUACACUAGAUCAGUCCAACACAUCCACGUGUUACACAGUGAGGGAGUGUUGUGCCCCACUGGUGUAGACAGCAGUUAGUUUGUUGGUACAAUAUUUGCUCUCCCAGAGAUCGAGCUUUGAUUGGAUCUCACAUGCGAGAUAUUUGCAUGCAAAAUGCUCCUCACUUCCUAAUCAGUUCGCCUCGCCCCAACUAGAUAUAGACAAACAGGUAGCUAGUUCAUGAUUCAUUCAAUUUGAAAAGUGGAUACCAGCGUAGCAUGCCACUUUGAAGUCGCAGCCCCUUCAUUAUCCGCUACAAGACCAUGGUGCUUGCCUACGGAGCUGUGAAGGGAACGGCACCUCCAUACCUUCAGGCUCUGAUCAGGCCCUACACCCAAACAAGGGCACUGCGUUCAUCCACCUCUGGCCUGCUGGCCCCCCUACCUCUGAGGAAGCACAGUUCCCGCUCAGCCCAGUCAAAACUGUUCGCUGCUCUGGCACCCCAAUGGUGGAACAAGCUCCCUCACGACGCCAGGACAGCGGAGUCAAUCACCACCUUCCGGAGACACCUGAAACCCCACCUCUUUAAGGAAUACCUAGGAUAGGAUAAAGUAAUCCUUCUAAACCCCCCCCCUUAAAAGAUUUAGAUGCACUAUUGUAAAGUGGUUGUUCCACUGGAUAUCAUAAGGUGAAUGCACCAAUUUGUAAGUCGCUCUGGAUAAGAGCGUCUGCUAAAUGACAUAAAUGUAAAUGUGAUUAUCAAUGCAACGUGCCGAAAACAUCAAAGAGCCUUCCCAGACUCUGGAGUAAAACAGAUGUGUAUCUUUCGCCAGACAAACACUAGAUGCCAUUCCACAAUAAUGGCUCAGAUUAACCGAUGACUGUAGAUGUAAAGAGUAUGAUAUCUCUGAAAAACUAAACUCGUCAAGAGUGUUAUGACAGGAAACAUCUUGUCUGUCAUUUCCUUGUAUUUAAUAGGAUUCUACUGUGUGUGUGUGUGUGUGUGUGUGUGUGUGUGUGUGUGUGUGUUAUUAGGUACUGAACCUGUUAUCAUAUAAUGUGUCCAUAGUAUUUAAACUACUGUUCAAAAGAGGUCACUUAGAAAUGUAAUGGUUUUUCAAAGAAAAGCAAUUUUUUCGUCCAUUAAAAUAACAUCAAAUUGAUCAGAAAUACAGUGUAGACAUUGUUAUUGUUGUAAAUAACUAUUGUAGCUGGAAACGGCAGAUUUUUUAUGGAAUAUCUACAUAGGCGUACAGAGGCCCAAUAUCAGCAACCAUCACUCCUGUGUUCCAAUGGCACGUUGUGUUAGCUAAUCCAAGUUUAUCACUUUAAAAGGCUAAUUGAUCAUUAGAAAAUCCUUUUGCAAUUAUGUUAGCACAGCUGAAAACUGGUGUUCCUGAUUAAAGAAGCAAUACAACUGGCUUUCUUUAGACUAGUUGUGUAUCUCGAGCAUUAACAUUUGUG
Molecule: long non-coding RNA, 8337 nt
Filed under: Salmo salar (Atlantic salmon)
Lineage: Eukaryota; Metazoa; Chordata; Actinopteri; Salmoniformes; Salmonidae
Description: lncRNA (ENSSSAG00000117560.1)
Rfam family: UnaL2 LINE 3' element (bases 7565-7618)
Source: RNAcentral